UACGGAGGGAGCUAGCGUUGUUCGGAAUUACUGGGCGUAAAGCGCACGUAGGCGGAUUUGUAAGUCAGGGGUGAAAUCCCGAGGCUCAACCUCGGAACUGCCUUUGAUACUGCAAAUCUCGAGUCCGGAAGAGGUGAGUGGAAUUCCUAGUGUAGAGGUGAAAUUCGUAGAUAUUAGGAAGAACACCAGUGGCGAAGGCGGCUCACUGGUCCGGUACUGACGCUGAGGUGCGAAAGCGUGGGGAGCAAACAGG
This 253-nucleotide ribosomal RNA is filed under the name uncultured bacterium. RNAcentral's name for it is "partial 16S ribosomal RNA". It matches the Rfam family "Bacterial small subunit ribosomal RNA", at positions 524 to 776 of the family's 1533-position model. The record is from RNAcentral.